Molecule: ribosomal RNA, 440 nt
Filed under: uncultured bacterium
Lineage: Bacteria
Description: partial 16S ribosomal RNA
Rfam family: Bacterial small subunit ribosomal RNA
Source: RNAcentral
CUACGGGGUGCAGCAGCUGGGAAUAUUGCGCAAUGGGCGAAAGCCUGACGCAGCGACACCGCGUGUGGGAAGACGCUUUUCGGAGUGUAAACCACUGUGGCAGGGGAACAAUCAUGAGGGUACCCUGCUAGAAAGCACCUGCUAACUACGUGCCAGAAGCCUCGGUAAUACGUAGGGUGCAAGCAUUAUCCGGAUUUACGGGGCGUAAAGCGUCCGUCGGCGUGUUAUUAAGUCUUUAGUCUAAGCCCAAGGCUCAACUUUGGACAGGCUGAAGAAACUAAUAAAAUUGAGUUUACUAGGGGGAGCUGGAAUUCUCGGUGGAGGGGUGAAAUCCGUAGAUAUCGAGAGGAACACCGUUCGCGAAGGCGAGCUCCUGGAGUAUAACUGACGCUCAGGGACGAAAGUUUGGGUAGCAAAAGGGAUUAGAUACCCCCGUAGUC